AUGUCGGCGGCGGUGAGGCUGCAGGCUGCUGCGCGCGGCCUCCUAGCGCGUCGGCGUGUGCGGGAGAUGCGUGGUCUGCAGCUGCCGCUCCUCCAAGUUGCCCUUCGCUGCGCAAAGGACCUCGAUCUCAUCCGCUGCGUCGGGGAUCUUGGGCAUGUGGUUUCCCCCACGGGCGGCCGGCAUGCUGUUUUCCCCGUGGGCAGCGACCUCAAAGUCUGCGACAUUGGUGGUUGGGGGGGCGCACCCCUCCUCAUCAUUCUCCAUGGCAAGCCCUCCACUCUUUCAUGUGCGGUGCAGACCAACAGCCGUCCGGCAGGGAGAAGGCAUGGUGUCACCGAUAGGAGCGCAUCGCAUAGCACCACUACAUUACGCCACCGGCCGCCGCGAGGGCACCUCUGCUGGUCACUCUUGCGACCACUUCCAGGUGGCCAUACACAUACACUCCUUUUGUCCAGGUGGUGUCCAUGGGAUCCAGGUGGCUGUACACGUGCACGCCCGACGAGCGGAUGGUGUCCACUUUUUGUUAAGGGGUCCAAAAUAAAGCGUCCCAGUCCAUUUUAG
This 561-nucleotide ribosomal RNA is filed under the name Triticum aestivum (bread wheat). Its description in RNAcentral is "partial small subunit ribosomal RNA". Lineage: Eukaryota; Viridiplantae; Streptophyta; Magnoliopsida; Poales; Poaceae. The record is from RNAcentral.